AAAAUCUCGAAACAGACUUCAUCCAAGACAACGAGAUACAGAUAAACACAGUCGGAUCGUCGUCUAGGCUCUGAUACCAUGUAAACAUUAAUAUUAUACCAAGAAAUCAUGGAAAAUGUAGAGAGAGAAACUAGAGAGAAGGAGGAGCGUUUGGAACUCUCUAGAAUAGAGAGAGAGAGUUUAUUACAGAGAAAAUAAAAUGAAAAUGAAGUCCGGUAGGUGAGAAAAUAUCUCACGUACACUAUAUACAGGAUACAAACUAAC
This 264-nucleotide long non-coding RNA is filed under the name Nicotiana benthamiana. Its description in RNAcentral is "long non-coding RNA (NBEN_LNC005084)". The record is from RNAcentral. Lineage: Eukaryota; Viridiplantae; Streptophyta; Magnoliopsida; Solanales; Solanaceae.